UGAAAAUAUCGUUUUAAUCAUGCGCGUUGUCGACAAACACAGAAAGGCUGGAGACUCAGAGGUGGGGAAGUGGUAUUCCGAGGCUGAAAAUGGGGCCACCACAGGAAUGAAGAGACAAGCGUAACCUUUAGUGUAAGGUAGACACAGAAGAAGCAUCAAUUGAAGACACUGACAACAUGAGGAACACAGGCAACCUCAGAACCUUCAUGAGAACUCCGUUACCAUUCUUCCCCUUUGGAAACUUCAAUCAUACCAUCUCUCAGCUAUUCCUUCUUCACAGACACCACUGGCUUGUUAAUGUCAAAACCUACCCCCAAUACCAUUAUGGAGUUCCCUGUGCAAGUAAACUCCUUGAUCCUUACUCUGACUCCUACCCAGGCUCACUAAACCUUUCUGUAUCUGAAAAUAUGUUAGCUCAAACCUGCCUCACCCCAGCGUGCAGAAUCAAACCACAGUGAGUCGUCACUCUGCCCAUCCACCCUGAGCUUAGAAGGAUUUGAUUGCUGUUCUUACUCACUAGUCUUAAACUGCCACACAGCCUUGGCUGCCUGUCAGUUAUUUCUUGUUGAACUGGCAUUUGGUCACCCACUCACCGUGAUGUACCGCAGAUGGCUUGGGUUGUCCCUACUCCUGUCCAGAAGAAUUACACUGCAAUAAACUUUGCUUUAAAGCC
Long non-coding RNA from Peromyscus californicus insignis, 673 nucleotides. RefSeq lists it as uncharacterized. Lineage: Eukaryota; Metazoa; Chordata; Mammalia; Rodentia; Cricetidae. The record is from RefSeq and is a predicted model, not a curated record. The transcript is spliced from 2 exons.